Vicugna pacos (alpaca) is the source of this 1001-nucleotide non-coding RNA. Lineage: Eukaryota; Metazoa; Chordata; Mammalia; Artiodactyla; Camelidae. The record is from RefSeq and is a predicted model, not a curated record.
AGAACAGGGGCUAGAGUUCGAGAGUGUACUUGUGAGUUUUCAAAACAAGUUGCACGUAUCUGCAACGGCAAUACUGAACUCUGCAAUUAACAGGAAAAGGAAUGGUGACCGCAGAUGGUGAACUGUAAAGGCUCUCUGUGAGAUGUCUCCAGUGCUCUCCUUCCAAGAAACUGCCCAUUUCCAAAUUUAGCCUACUGGGGAGCCGUGAAAAGAGAGUGGAAUUCAGAGUCAGAAGACCCAGAUUAUCUAUAGCUAUGACUGAAUUCUGACUUAGAGUAAUGACGGCCAAAAGGAAGAACCGACAAAAGGUGCUAUUGUAGGAAAAAUAAGAAUUCAUGAGGAGUCCGUGAAAACGGAGCGCAACUCAUCAUGUAUGAAGUCUGGGACGACCACCCCAUGGAUUACAGUAUUGUUGAAUGAGGACACAGUCAUAAGCUUAACCUCCAUGUAAAGGUAGGAGACCCAGUAAACCAGAUUGAACAGGCAGAAGGCGGUGGGGAAGAAGAUGCGUGCGUAGGAGUCCAUUUUGGCGAUCCGGAUGUGUAUCCUCCCGUGUCUCCAGGCUCCUGUUCGGCAGUCUUCAAAACAGCAGAAAAAGCUAGCGCAGUCCUUGCCAUCCAGACACUCGUACCCGUAUUCCUCAUCUCGCUCCUGCAGAUUAAGGAAUCCAAGUGCUCCCAUCUUGGCAACAAGAUCCAGUCUGCAGUGACAGCUGUUAGAGAGGGCCCGUCCUCCCAGCCUCGCUCCUACUGGCAGGUUUGGAGGCCAGGUGAAGUCAUCCUACCUGUUUCCAGAUCACUGACAUCAAUCCACGUUGCUAACUGCAUAAAUCAUCAGCAUCCACCAUCAUCCUCAACUCUAAAUGAAAGGGUGCCGUACUCCACCAAAGCAGAGAAGACAAAGAUGAAGCAGACAGACACAAAGAGGUCCAUGGCUGUGACAUAGGACACCUUGGGAAGCGACUUGCGGGCAAUGGUGCUGAGGGUAGUCAUGGUGAGGAC